GCGUCGAUUCAGUAUUACAAAAAGGGUAUACCACCCGGAACAUUAUGAAACGUUCACAUAAUAAAGAAAACGAUAAUAGAAAAUCAUAAAUAGUGGAAAUUUUAAGGGGGGUGGGGGGGGGGGGUAACUGCAGAAAUGGACUCCCAACCCUGUAUCCGACAAUGGAAUAUUGGUUUGAACAUCAUAUAUAUAUAUAUAUAUAUAUAUAUAUGUAUAACAUAACUACAACGUUAACGCAUUUAGGUACCACAAUGACUCUAACAUACUUGUACAGUUCAAUCCAUGUAGGUAACGCAAUGACUCUAACAUACUUGUACAGUUCAAUCCAUUUAGGUAACGCAAUGACUCUAACAUACUUGUACAGUUCAAUCCAUGUAGGUAACACAAUGACUCUAACAUACUUGUACAGUUCAAUCCAUUUUAAUAGGUAAUGCAAUGACUCUAACAUACUUGUACAGUUCAAUCAAUGUAGGUAACGCAAUGACUAUAACAUACUUGUACAGUUCAAUCCAUUUAGGUACCGCAAUGACUCUAACAUACUUGUACAGUUCAAUCCAU
RNAcentral lists this long non-coding RNA (558 nucleotides) under Mytilus galloprovincialis (Mediterranean mussel). The record is from RNAcentral. Lineage: Eukaryota; Metazoa; Mollusca; Bivalvia; Mytilida; Mytilidae.